This 200-nucleotide unclassified non-coding RNA is filed under the name soil metagenome. RNAcentral's name for it is "partial contains internal transcribed spacer 2 and large subunit ribosomal RNA". The record is from RNAcentral.
GCUCGCUUGAAAUGAAUUAGCAGAUCCUUUUGUAAUCGGUUCCACUCGACGUGAUAAGUAUUUCGCCGAGGACAUAAGCAAUUAUGGCCGAGAUAAGAAAAGUCUUUAGACCCGCUUCUAAUUCUUAGAUAGAGCUUGCUCUACUAAACCCCAUUUUAUGAUCUGGCCUCAAAUCAGGUAGGACUACCCGCUGAACUUAA